This 403-nucleotide ribosomal RNA is filed under the name uncultured Oscillospiraceae bacterium. Its description in RNAcentral is "bacterial SSU rRNA". It matches the Rfam family "Bacterial small subunit ribosomal RNA", at positions 356 to 774 of the family's 1533-position model. Lineage: Bacteria; Bacillati; Bacillota; Clostridia; Eubacteriales; Oscillospiraceae. The record is from RNAcentral.
GGGGAAUAUUGGGCAAUGGGAGCAAGCCUGACCCAGCAACGCCGCGUGAAGGAAGAAGGCUUUCGGGUUGUAAACUUCUUUUAUGAGGGACGAAAAAAAUGACGGUACCUCAUGAAUAAGCCACGGCUAACUACGUGCCAGCAGCCGCGGUAAUACGUAGGUGGCAAGCGUUGUCCGGAAUUACUGGGUGUAAAGGGAGCGUAGGCGGGAAGACAAGUCAAGUGUCAAAUCUAUCGGCUCAACCGGUAGCCGCGCUUGAAACUGUUUUUCUUGAGUGGAGUAGAGGCAGGCGGAAUUCCUAGUGUAGCGAUGAAAUGCGUAGAUAUUAGGAGGAACACCAGUGGCGAAGGCGGCCUGCUGGGCUUUUACUGACGCUGAGGCUCGAAAGUGUGGGGAGCAAACA